AGUAAGGUCAGCUAAAAUAAGCUACCAGGCCCAUACCCUGGAAAUGUGGUUUAACAUCCGCCCUUAUUG
Molecule: transfer RNA, 69 nt
Filed under: Apteronotus albifrons (black ghost)
Lineage: Eukaryota; Metazoa; Chordata; Actinopteri; Gymnotiformes; Apteronotidae
Also listed under: 1 other name
Description: tRNA-Met
Source: RNAcentral